Molecule: ribosomal RNA, 505 nt
Filed under: uncultured bacterium
Lineage: Bacteria
Description: partial 16S ribosomal RNA
Rfam family: Bacterial small subunit ribosomal RNA
Source: RNAcentral
GACGAACGCUGGCGGCGUGCCUAAUACAUGCAAGUAGAACGCACAGUUUAUACCGUAGCUUGCUACACCAUAGACUGUGAGUUGCGAACGGGUGAGUAACGCGUAGGUAACCUGCCUGGUAGCGGGGGAUAACUAUUGGAAACGAUAGCUAAUACCGCAUAAUAUUAAUUAUUGCAUGAUAAUUAAUUGAAAGGUGCAAUUGCACCACUACCAGAUGGACCUGCGUUGUAUUAGCUAGUAGGUGAGGUAACGGCUCACCUAGGCGACGAUACAUAGCCGACCUGAGAAGGUGAUCGGCCACACUGGGACUGAGACACGGCCCAGACUCCUACGGGAGGCAGCAGUAGGGAAUCUUCGGCAAUGGACGAAAGUCUGACCGAGCAACGCCGCGUGAGUGAAGAAGGUUGUCGGAUCGUAAAGCUCUGUUGUAAGAGAAGAACGGGUGUGAGAGUGGAAAGUUCACACUGUGACGGUAUCUUACCAGAAAGGGACGGCUAACUACGUG